Long non-coding RNA from Aethalodelphis obliquidens (Pacific white-sided dolphin), 5184 nucleotides. RefSeq lists it as uncharacterized. Lineage: Eukaryota; Metazoa; Chordata; Mammalia; Artiodactyla; Delphinidae. The transcript has 3 exons. The record is from RefSeq and is a predicted model, not a curated record.
GUUAAUUAGGCAUUAAUAUAUUGCAUCAUUUGUUGAAAAUCCUCCUAAAAAGUACGUGUUUAAUUUCAGAGUUAAAGUAGCAGCAAGUUUUGGAGUCCAUGUACCUGUUUCCAAGUCCCCAUUAAACAGCCCAUGAAAAUACUGAAAACUAAAAAUUGACAAAAUGCCAAAGUCAAGAUACUAAAGCCCACACCAGGUGGAAGAAGUUAACUGCAUGCAGACCACUGGCAUGUAGACCCCAGACAGGUUGGACCCAGAAGGUGGAUGAUUGAGAUUCCCAGCACAUCACCCUGUUACCUCACCAUCAGCCAAUCAAAGAAUUGCACACAAGCUGAUCAGGCAUGUUUCCUGUAUAUGAAGAAGACUGACCCCAGAGCUGACCAAAAGUCUCUCAACGGUUGUAACCUUCAGGCUGGACUGUGCCCCUGAGCUAUUUGCUGGGUCUUUCUCGGAUCUUGCUGUAAAAAGGGUGAGACCUCACUGCAAGUCAAUUGAUCUAGCUUCCAAGUGUGUGGGCUGGGAAAGGUCAAAAGCUUCAUUUCAGAGGAAACACUGUCUUCUAAGGCAUUCAUUCAUUCAUUCUUUCAUGUGUGUGUGUAAGAGAGAAGGAGAGAGGCAAAAAUGUUUGUUUACAACAAUAAAACAAACAGUAUGUCAAACGGUGAUAAGUUCUAUGGAGAAGAACGAAACAAGGAAAGGUGACAGAGAGUGCUAGGCUGCGGAUGGGAAAACUUCAAGUAGACUAUCUUUUGAUGUGUUUGAAAUAUCUACUGAUAAUCUGAAAUUCGAUACACCUUUGCCUCAUGUGGUGGGUAAAUUCCUUUCUUAACAUUCAACGUUAUAAGAAGCAAGAUCAUUGCACUAGGAAAAGUAGUUGGCUGUCUGAUCCCCACUUCAGGGAGGAAAGGGGAAAAAGUCAUUUAUUGAAGACUCAGCUUUGCUAGGGUUUGAAAUUGUUAGCGCUGUUACAGGGGCAAUUUAUCCAGGCCAUGAACUUCUUUAUGUGCACCUUUGAUAUAACACACUGGGCCAAGUGAAAGUAAUACCUUGGUUCACCCAGAAAAUCAGGAAACAGAACACAGAAGUUGACUGAUGUUGGCCAUUUGGAGAUAGACCAGCCGCAAUGACGUAGACAUUUUCUUAUCAGGUCCAGAAACCCAUGUGAGCCAGGAAACUAUCCUUUCACACUCCCUCCGCUCUAUUAGGCUUCUUCCAGUGCCAGACAGAAGGACCCAGUGCUUCAGAAGUUCCGAUCAGAAUGCUCAGAUGACCACAAUGAAAAUACUCCUGUGUGCCUGCCAAGGCCCACCCAGCAGUGCUCAGUUCUGCAAGGAAGCAGGACCCGGGGACAGGCUGUGAGUCUGAUGCAGACUCUGAAGAUGCUGAAAAUCGUAAGAAAUGAUCUUCUUGAAAAUGUACUGGAUUUUGCCAAUUACACUGGAUUGUUCACAAAACCAUUUUGAGGAGCACUGUGCAGAGGCAGGGACACACCAUAAACAUCUAACCACCAGCUGGCCGGCCCUGGGCUAUGAGCGCAGCUGUCGGUGUCAGCUGAAACAAAACCCAAACUUGCAUCUCUCAGAGGGUGGGAAGAUGCUCUGACCUACUCUCCCAUCCAAAAACCCCAGGUGAUGUGCCGAAUGGGGGUGGAAGUGGGAUUGGAGAAGGGCUGCAGAAACCGCCAGGGUGUUCCUGGGGGCACUUUUCAGCAGGAUGGAGGAGAACUGGUUCUUACAGUCUCUAGGGUACUGGUUGAAGGUUUGGUUCCUACGUCCCUUCCCUGCAGCUGCACGGGCCUCUUGUCCACCUCCUCUGUCAGCCUUGGAGCCAACAUGUCUCCACAGUGUGAGGGCAGGAGCAUGGGUUUCCCAGGCCUGGGACGCAGUCCAGAAGUUAACACCAGUAAGGUCAGGAUUUCCUGCAGCCUCUGCAAUCAAGUUUCCUCAGGUCAGCUGGUCGCACAGAGCGGCCUCCGGAGCCCUCCAAGUAACAUCAUGGGCCCCGCUGUUCUCCUACAAGUUGCUGCCCUUUCCCACACUCCAGGCAGGAAAAAAUCUUUUAAUCCCUAGCUUCGUGCCAGCCCUCAUUUCUGCUCAUCUUGACUCCAAAUUUGAAUACCAGUUACCUCAAACUGUUCUCAAGAUUUUUAAAGACGUAGAUCAAGAAAGUCACCCCUUCAGUCCACCCACUGAACAGUUGGGAUGUGACCUGGUGCCUGUGUUGACCGUUCGGGCUACAUUUGCCCUGCUUGGGAGCAGUAAUAACUGCAGUCCUCUUCUUGAACUUGUGCCAAGACAUACUGUAUUUAAGAAGAGUGGAAAUUCCCCAUGGCAUUUGCUUUCUGAUGUUUUAAAUAUUUGCUUAUUUUUCCCACAGGAAACUUUAUACUUAGUGUACAUUCCUAAAUCGAUUGUUUUUUAUUUUUUUUCCUCCCUGCGUUUCCCUCUUUAGCAAAUCGUUGGGCAGCUCAUCAUGGACGUUUCUGCCAAUGUGACACCUCACAGCAGCUCGAGACAUUCUCCUUUGUGCCGCGUGCUUGGAUCCCCGGCAGCCGGUUUUCUUAUUUGCUCGGUAAAUCUCAGCCGUUGCCUUGUUCAGGACUCCUCUUCCCGUGUAAGAAGCAUCUCCGAAAGCCGACCAGACCCCAUUAUGUUUUCAUUUCUCCUAGGCUCAGACUCAUGGUUUGCUCCUGAAAACAGCUCCAAGGGCUCCCUGUGGGGCUGGCCAUGGGACGCGAGCCCCAUCCAACUCUCCAAGUCAGUAACAGUUUGCUUCCUGGUUAUAUGUAAAGCACCCCGGCAAAAGGAAAUAGAGAUUCGAUAAAGAUAAACUAGAAGUGGCUGGUCACAGAGAAAAAUGUCCAGUUAGAACACUCUGGGGGAUGGACCAUUUUACAGGAUUUCUUCUUUAUUUUGAGGGGAGGAAAAGCCCAGUCAAAAAAUAUAAUCAGCUCGGGACUUCCCUGGUGGUCCAGUGGUUAAGACUCCACAUACCCAAUGCAGGAGGCACGGGUUCAAUCCCUGACUGGGGAACUAAGAUCCCAAUAUAUAUAUAAUCAACUAAUUUAUAUCUGGCCUGUCAGCCAUCAGAAUACGCCAGGGAAACAUAUGCUGAAAUUCUUGGCUUCACAAUGUCGUUAGGGGCAGCCCUGUGAGGCAGAAAAUGGUGCAAAAUGUCUGCAGGACAGAUAACCAGUACAGAGGGUGGUGUCAGGGAAGCCCUUUGUUUUGGGGAGCCUAAGCCUGGGGGGGUGGGGAGGGAGGUGGAGAGACAUCCUCCCAUCUUGGAGACUCUGUCAACAGACUUGGCUGCAGAUCCGGGAUCUUCUGCUGGACCAGGUGGAGAUGUUGUGGUCAGCAUCUCUUUCCUUCCCAGGCUUGUCUGUUUCUAUGUAAGAUCAGAGUGGGACUCCAGGUUAGAAGGUGGGAGAUUUCAGUGCUUCGGAAGCACUUUUCAUGGCCAGAUCUAAACUGAGACUCAACUGAAUUCUGUGAGUACCUCUGGAGAAUCUGCUCUACAUAAGCCACCGCGCUAACCACGGCUGUGUCACUACGACGCGGCUCGGAAGACCCUGACAACCUAGUCUCUAAGCACAGCCACCCCAGGCUCGUGCUGUCCAAAACCUCAACAGCCACCCGUGGUGCACGCUGGACGCUGCAGUUGUGUCGGAGCCUUGGGAGGAUUCUCCCCACCUUCAGAGAGCUUGUAGCCUGGGGGAUGAAAAGAUUGCUACAGAAGCAGCUGUGGAAAAGCAAGCUCAGUGGAAAAAUGGGAGUAACCAAAAAUGAAUUCAGAGCGAACUCAAGAUAUAAGACGCGGGCAAAGGAGGAGGGACAGAGGGGAGAAGAGGAGGCUGGAUUAUCUUGUGGGAGCCUCCCAUGCCUCGUCUUAAAUUGCUAGGUCAUCAAGGAUUGUGCUUUAGGAGAUAACACUGAGAAAAACCGGCCAGGAGACUGGAAGCCAAGUAGAAACACACUUCAUACUGUCAAGGUAAAAGAUAAGGGGGCCUGAACUUGUACGAUAACAGUCAAAAGGAGAAAAGGCACUGAAUUGGGAGAUGUUUUGAGGCUUAUAAAAAUUCAUUUUGACUCACCGUGAAGUUAAAAGUGAGAAAAUUAGUAAGAAACAAAAUAUUGAUGAACCCCAACUUUACUAACAAGAAACAACAUAGUUCAAGAUUUAUAUUGAAACUGCCUUUUGUGUAGGUAACAAAAUGGUCAACAAUCAGUAAUUUCAUGAAAUUCAAAUUUACUUUAUAAUAGGCCCCCCUAAAUAUCCCACUGUAGGAAAAGUAUAACCCCAAACAAAAUAACAUUAAAAUGAAUAAAAAUUAACUGUGAAUACAAGAGAGCACGAAGUCAUUUAUUUAGCAGUGGGACAGGUGAGCGCAGGUUUUAAAGAGAAGACCCAGUUCUUAAGGAGAUGGCCUGGUAGAGAAUUUCCCCUUGGCUUUCAGCCUAGGGCAAAAUUCCAGAGAAAAGUGGUUUAGGUCAGUGAAAGCCCAAUACUUGUUUUGGAAUUAAAGAAGGGUAUUGUAACUAACUUCAAUGUACAAUCUCCUAUACACCACCCUUUGGGGCUUUUCUUAACAGAUUUGAUCCAGAGUUACCAGCAGAGAUUAAAAAUACCUGCAAUGAAACCUUCCCUGAGUCCAUUUUCUGCCUGUGCUCCCUUCACCAUAAUACGUACUGAAGACAGAGUUUAGGAACAAACAGAAAACUUAACACUGCUACGCCAAACGUUAAGCAAACCUUCCAUUCCAUGAGGAUGUCAUUAGGUCACCUAGUAAAUGUUAAUGCCUACCCAAGGGUGAACACUGUGAAUCUCAGUCAGAAUGCUGCAGGUUGUAGAACCUUCAUAAUUUUCACCUCUAAAUUCUGAGCCACAUCAACGUGCUUCCAAGCCUUUGUUCCCACUGAUUCCUUUUCCUCCCCAAUUCUUUGCUAUUUAAGGAAUGCUAACUUAUCCUUCAAGCCUUGACCCACCCUAGCCUCACCCGCUCCCUAGGACCUUGCAACAUUCAGUUCAUGCUUUUAUUUCCAUUGUAUUCAGUUUGCUUGUCUCCCAAUCUUAGUUUGGUUUUCACUCCUAGAUUCAAUCAAGAAAUGUCAGCCCAAAACUACAUGCUUUUUGUAUUGACCAGUAAAACAAAGGAAAAUAAAUUUCAAGAUUGUAUGCUGAUAA